This 77-nucleotide transfer RNA is filed under the name Nippostrongylus brasiliensis. It matches the Rfam family "tRNA". Rfam says of the family: Transfer RNA (tRNA) molecules are approximately 80 nucleotides in length. Their secondary structure includes four short double-helical elements and three loops (D, anti-codon, and T loops). The record is from Rfam by way of RNAcentral. Lineage: Eukaryota; Metazoa; Nematoda; Chromadorea; Rhabditida; Heligmosomidae.
GGCCCGAUGGUGUAGCGGUAUAACAUCACGGUCUCCAUGAUUGGCCGAAGUCGCGGGUUCAAAUCCCGCCUGAGCCG